This 534-nucleotide ribosomal RNA is filed under the name Euthynnus affinis (eastern little tuna). RNAcentral's name for it is "partial 12S ribosomal RNA". It matches the Rfam family "Bacterial small subunit ribosomal RNA", at positions 431 to 1025 of the family's 1533-position model. Lineage: Eukaryota; Metazoa; Chordata; Actinopteri; Scombriformes; Scombridae. The record is from RNAcentral.
CCCCGUGGGGAGGGAGGAGCGAUGAUGCUAACUUGACUUAGUUAAAGCUAAGAGGGCCGGUAAAACUCGUGCCAGCCACCGCGGUUAUACGAGAGGCCCAAGUUGACAGACACCGGCGUAAAGCGUGGUUAAGGUAAACUAAAACUAAAGCCGAAUACCUUCAGGGCAGUUAUACGCAUCCGAAGGCAGCAAGCCCCACCACGAAAGUGGCUUUAUGACCCCUGACCCCACGAAAGCUAUGACACAAACUGGGAUUAGAUACCCCACUAUGCCGAGGCGUAGACAUUGAUAGAAUUCUACACCCUCUAUCCGCCUGGGUACUACAACCAUCAACUUGAAACCCAAAGGACUUGGCGGUACUUUAGAUCCCCCUACAGGAGCCUGUUCUAUAACCGAUGACCCCCGUUCAACCUCACCCUCCCUUGUUUUUCCCGCCAAUUUACCGCCCUCUUCAGCUUACCCUGUGAAGGUCUAAUAGUAAGCAAAAUUGGGACCGCCCAUAACGUCAUGUCUAGGGUGAAAUUGUCACAAGAC